This 397-nucleotide ribosomal RNA is filed under the name uncultured bacterium. RNAcentral describes it as "partial 16S ribosomal RNA". It matches the Rfam family "Bacterial small subunit ribosomal RNA", at positions 523 to 918 of the family's 1533-position model. The record is from RNAcentral.
AUACGUAGGGGGCGAGCGUUGUCCGGAAUGACUGGGCGUAAAGGGCGUGUAGGCGGCUUUAUAAGUCUGGAGUGAAAGUCCUGCUUUCAAGGUGGGAAUUGCUUUGGAGACUGUAGAGCUUGAGUGCGGAAGAGGUAAGUGGAAUUCCCAGUGUAGCGGUGAAAUGCGUAGAGAUUGGGAGGAACACCAGUGGCGAAGGCGACUUACUGGACUGUAACUGACGCUGAGGCGCGAAAGUGUGGGGAGCAAACAGGAUUAGAUACCCUGGUAGUCCACACUGUAAACGAUGAAUGCUAGGUGUUGCGGGUAUCGACCCCUGCAGUGCCGGAGUAAACACAAUAAGCAUUCCGCCUGGGGAGUACGGCCGCAAGGUUGAAACUCAAAGGAAUUGACGGGG